Molecule: non-coding RNA, 105 nt
Organism: Acanthosepion pharaonis
Lineage: Eukaryota; Metazoa; Mollusca; Cephalopoda; Sepiida; Sepiidae
Source: the annotation of a GenBank genome assembly
CCAUAUCACCUUGAAAUCCGGUUCUCGUACGAUCACCUCAGUUAAGCAACGUACAACGGGCAGUACUUAGAUGGGUGACUGCUUGGGAAUACCAGGCGCUGUAAG